RNAcentral lists this ribosomal RNA (468 nucleotides) under uncultured bacterium. Its description in RNAcentral is "partial 16S ribosomal RNA". It matches the Rfam family "Bacterial small subunit ribosomal RNA", at positions 28 to 507 of the family's 1533-position model. The record is from RNAcentral.
GACGAACGCUGGCGGCGUGCUUAACACAUGCAAGUCGAACGGAAAGGCCCUGCUUUUGUGGGGUGCUCGAGUGGCGAACGGGGGAGUAACACGUGAGUAACCUGCCCUUGACUUUGGGAUAACUUCAGGAAACUGGGGCGAAUACCGGAUAGGAGCUCCUGCUGCAUGGUGGGGGUUGGAAAGUUUCGGCGGUUGGGGAUGGACUCGCGGCUUAUCCGCUUGUUGGUGGGGUAGUGGCUUACCAAGGCUUUGACGGGUAGCCGGCCUGAGAGGGUGACCGGCCACAUUGGGACUGAGAUACGGCCCAGACUCCUACGGGAGGCAGCAGUGGGGAAUAUUGCACAAUGGGCGGAAGCCUGAUGCAGCAACGCCGCGUGCGGGAUGACGGCCUUCGGGUUGUAAACCGCUUUCGCCUGUGACGAAGCGUGAGUGACGGUAAUGGGUAAAGAAGCACCGGCUAACUACGUG